GAUGAACGCUGGCGGCGUGCCUAAUACAUGCAAGUCGAGCGAACGGACGAGAAGCUUGCUUCUCUGAUGUUAGCGGCGGACGGGUGAGUAACACGUGGAUAACCUACCUAUAAGACUGGGAUAACUUCGGGAAACCGGAGCUAAUACCGGAUCAUAUUUUGAACCGCAUGGUUCAAAAGUGAAAGACGGUCUUGCUGUCACUUAUAGAUGGAUCCGCGCUGCAUUAGCUAGUUGGUACGGUAACGGCUUACCAAGGCAACGAUGCAUAGCCGACCUGAGAGGGUGAUCGGCCACACUGGAACUGAGACACGGUCCAGACUCCUACGGGAGGCAGCAGUAGGGAAUCUUCCGCAAUGGGCGAAAGCCUGACGGAGCAACGCCGCGUGAGUGAUGAAGGUCUUCGGAUCGUAAAACUCUGUUAUUAGGGAAGAACAUAUGUGUAAGUAACUGUGCACAUCUUGACGGUACCUAAUCAGAAAGCCACGGCUAACUACGUG
RNAcentral lists this ribosomal RNA (497 nucleotides) under uncultured bacterium. RNAcentral describes it as "partial 16S ribosomal RNA". It matches the Rfam family "Bacterial small subunit ribosomal RNA", at positions 28 to 507 of the family's 1533-position model. The record is from RNAcentral.